UAAAAAUAUUAUGCCUGCAUCGAGUUCCCUAACCUUCUUAUUAUAUUGACCAUGCAUGUACUGAUAUGAGAAAGCUUUUAAAAGCUUCGCGUUCAACGACAAACGACAAACGUCUGCAGGCAAAGAAAAAUUUUACGCUUUAAAGCAAUAAAAAGUAAACGGGCUUGUUGUUUUAAAACUAGAAUGCUUAACUAUUCUUGUGUCAUACGUAAGAAAAUAUGACACACAGAAAUCGAACAAAAAUUACGCCAAGAAAAUUCGGCCUUUCCGUUUGCCGUUCCCGCAAACGUGAAGCUUAAACUCCCUAUACGUGACCUCAUUAUCCGCGGUGGCGCAGUCGUCAGAGCAAGCGCCUUAAUUUCACCUCUGAUCUUAGUUGAACACUGAUAUCUCGUGUUGAACACUGAUAUCUCACUCGUUCGCUGCGCUCACUCGUGAGAUAUCAUGUUCAACACUCGAAAUAAAUCUGGUAUUUCCGCGCAGCCAUGUAUUAUUCUCUAUAUAUCUGCCGAAAGUCGUUUUCUUCGGGUACUCUGGUUUCCUCCCACAGGG
Non-coding RNA from Paramuricea clavata, 552 nucleotides. The record is from the annotation of a GenBank genome assembly. NCBI's taxonomy places the organism in Eukaryota, Metazoa, Cnidaria, Anthozoa, Malacalcyonacea, Plexauridae.